UUCCCUUUCCGAGUCAAAGAAAGGGGUGACAGACGCACCUGGAAAAUCGGGUCACUCCCACCCGAAUAUUGCGCUUUUCAGACCGGCUUAAAAAACGGCGCACCACGAGACUAUAUCCCACACCUGGCUCGGAGGGUCCUACGCCCGCCCACGGAGUCUCGCUGAUUGCUAGCACAGCAGUCUGAGAUCAAACUGCAAGGCGGCAGCGAGGCUGGGGGAGGGGCGCCCGCCAUUGCCCAGGCUUGCCUAGGUAAACAAAGCAGCCAGGAAGCUCGAACUGGGUGGAGCCCACCACAGCUCAAGGAGGCCUGCCUGCCUCUGUAGGCUCCACCUCUGGGGGCAGGGCACAGACAAACAAAAAGACAGCAGUAACCUCUGUGGGGGCCAAUAUUCAACAUUCUUAAAGAAAAGAAUUUUCAACCCAGAAUUUCAUAUCCAGCCAAACUAAGCUUCAUAAGUGAAGGUGUAAAGACCAUCGAGACUAGGAAGAAACUGCAUCAACUAACGAGCAAAAUCACCAGCUAACAUCAUAAUGACAGGAUCAAAUUCACACAUAACAAUAUUAACUUUAAAUGUAAAUGGACUAAAUUCUCCAAUUAAAAGACACAGACUGGCAAGUUGGAUAAAGAGUCAAGACCCAUCAGUGUGCUGUAUUCAGGAAACCCAUCUCACGUGCAGAGACACACAUAGGCUCAAAAUAAAAGGAUGGAGGAAGAUCUACCAAGCCAAUGGAAAACAAAAAAAGGCAGGGGUUGCAAUCCUAGUCUCUGAUAAAACAGACUUUAAACCAACAAAUAUCAAAAGAGACAAAGAAGGCCAUUACAUAAUGGUAAAGGGAUCAAUUCAACAAGAGGAGCUAACUAUCCUAAAUAUAUAUGCACCCAAUACAGGAGCACCCAGAUUCAUAAAGCAAGUCCUGAGUGACCUACAAAGAGACUUAGACUCCCACACAAUAAUAAUGGGAGACUUUAACACCCCACUGUCAACAUUAGACAGAUCAACGAGACAGAAAGUCAACAAGGAUACCCAGGAAUUGAACUCAGCUCUGCACCAAGCGGACCUAAUAGACAUCUACAGAACUCUCCAUGCCAAAUCAACAGAACAUACAUUCUUCUCAGCACCACACCACACCUAUUCCAAAAUUGACCACAUAGUUGGAAGUAAAACUCUCCUCAGCAAAUGUAAAA
RNAcentral lists this long non-coding RNA (1187 nucleotides) under Homo sapiens (human). Its description in RNAcentral is "non-protein coding lnc-ATAD2B-9:3". Lineage: Eukaryota; Metazoa; Chordata; Mammalia; Primates; Hominidae. The record is from RNAcentral.